Non-coding RNA from Cricetulus griseus (Chinese hamster), 502 nucleotides. Lineage: Eukaryota; Metazoa; Chordata; Mammalia; Rodentia; Cricetidae. The record is from RefSeq and is a predicted model, not a curated record.
AUAAAGCACACACAUGGCGGUGGGGCUCAGACAGCUUUUGGCAGAAAUAUUUAUUGUAACACCACACCUGUGUUUCUGGUGCCUGAGGAGACCUUGUAUCUUCUGGAAUUGGAAGGAAAGAUGAGUGUGAGCUACCAUGUGAGUGAUACAUACUCAUGCCCUGUGCAACAGCAGGUGAGACAGCUGGGGCAGUGUUGGACAGCUCACCCUGGUGAUGAGGAUGAGGGAGAAGAGGUGGGAUGACCAACACCGCCACCAUCCAGGCCCAGAACCAGGGCUUUUAGUUGGCCUACCCCAACAUUUACACCAUCCAUGAUCAUCUGGAGCAUGUGAAGGAGACAGAACUGCAGACACAAAGCUGCAGGAUCUCCAUGACGCAGCAACAGCAGGAUAUCCAAGAGGAGUCCAAGUGAGUGCCCAGUAUCAACAGUAUAGAAGAAACCAGAGGCCACAAACCACAGCAAUGACUCGUUGUAAAUAAAGAUGUAUGCCAUAAAAUGUA